Molecule: ribosomal RNA, 332 nt
Filed under: uncultured bacterium
Lineage: Bacteria
Description: bacterial SSU rRNA
Rfam family: Bacterial small subunit ribosomal RNA
Source: RNAcentral
CGUGUAGGCGGCCUUUUAAGUCCAGCGUGAAAUCCUCCGGCUUAACCGGAGAAUGGCGCUGGAUACUGGAAGGCUAGAGUUCGGGAGAGGGAGGUAGAAUUCCCGGUGUAGCGGUGAAAUGCGUAGAUAUCGGGAGGAAUACCCGUGGCGUAGGCGGCCUCCUGGCCCGACACUGACGCUGAAACGCAAAAGCGUGGGGAGCAAACAGAAUUAGAUACUCUGGUAGUCCACGCCUUAAACGGUGAGAACUAGGUGUGGGAGGUAUUGACCCCUUCUGCGCCGUAGCUAACGCGUUAAGUUCUCCGCCUGGGGAUUACGGUCGCAAGAUUGAA